CUUUGUUCGUUUAUAUAUAUUCCGGCGAGUUUUACUGCUGUUUCUUCUAUAUUGUUUCUUCUAUUUUUUUUUUGUUCUUUUUUUAACUAGAUCCUCUUUUGGAUAGUUGUUAUUAAUAUAAAUUCUGUUUUCUGAUAAUAUAUUCCGAUUAGAAUUGAUUUGUUAACUAGAUCUUCUUAUCUGUUUGUGUGCUACUAAUUUCCUAUUUUUAUUAAUUCUUCAUCCUAAUUGUUGAUUAGGCAACCAUGAUGCUAACCGGCUUUCAAAAUUCCUGUAUAAACUAAUAUUCUUGCUAAUCAACAAUUAGGAUGAAGAAUUAGGGUUUAGUCGGCGUCCUUAAGACAAGAGUAGAUACGGCAAAGUUGGAGGAGCUUAGGGAGUUAAUGGAGCUGAAGCGGAAUUCUCUGAGGAAGGAGCUGAGUCGGUCUCUGCAAGUGGAGAAUAUGCUCGCUGAGGUUAGGAAGCAAAAGAGCUUGAAUACGACUUGCGAAAAAAAGCUCGACUGGAGACUUGCAUAGAAGCAAUCGAGAAUUGAUUCGUUGACGAUGAAUCUCGAGAAAAUCUCUGCGUCCGACUACUCGCUGGAGAACAAACUCAUUGUUUUACAUCGAGAUCUGUACUGACCGCGAUCUGGAAGCCUGACACCGCGAUCUGGGAAAAACACCUGCAACAAACGACAGUGACUGGUGAGCUUGUAUGGGUUGAUUUCACCAUUUUUAAGGCUUCAGUGAAUGUGUCAGUGAUUCACAUUCAACUUACUUUCUCAAAAACAAUUAACUUUGAGUAAGCUUUGUCUAGAAAGCUUCUGUAUGGAUCCCAAAGUUGUUGUGUCCAUGUCGUAAGCAUUUCAUGUCAUGAAAGAUGAAGGAUUGCUCGAGAUAAUGGAUCAUCUCACCCCCAAGUUGAAAGAUGAGGUCAAGAAGCUGCUCAGCUCAACAUCUUUUCUUUAAGAAGAUGUAUGCUUAUCACAACCGCUGCAGCCAUCUCGAUCAACUGGGUCAGGUUACAAGUCAGCAUGGUCUGGAGCAGUAGAACUGUUUUACGCGGCAGAGUCAGGAAAAUGGAUAGAAUCGCAGAUAGUGAGGAACAGGAAGAGUCGGAAAUGGUCGGUGACAGAGGAGAUAAAGCACGGAGCAGAGGAGAGUGAAAGGAGUAUCUGCGAAGGUGAAGAAAAUGAGAGAAGAAGCAUCAUGUGUGUAGGAUGAUCCGGUGAAGAUCGUGUGUGAAAAGGAGGAGUUGAAGAGAAGGAAGGCAUUGGAGCUGAAAGAGAGGAAAAUUGGGCACGAGUAGGAGACGGUGGAGAUGGAGAUGGAGAAGCAGAGAGAGAGAGAGGUGGAUGAGAUAAAAAAUGGAUAAAGUUAAGCUAGAAAACCUGCGUGGAAUGCUUGAGAUGGAAAGCAUGAUGCUUCCAAUAGCCUAUUAAACCAGCGUAUAUAAAUGGCCACAGACACGGAAGUUAGCAUCGAACUGGAUACGUUCUUGACUCUUUUAUUUUUAAUUUCGUCAACAAACAACUCUGUCUCAUCUUAUAGUUUUACAUAUCCCAUUUUGAUGAAAAUCAUCAUAUUAACAUUUACACAUAAGUCAAAUUAUUGGUUUCAAAUACAGAU
Long non-coding RNA from Raphanus sativus (radish), 1610 nucleotides. RefSeq lists it as uncharacterized. Lineage: Eukaryota; Viridiplantae; Streptophyta; Magnoliopsida; Brassicales; Brassicaceae. The transcript has 3 exons. The record is from RefSeq and is a predicted model, not a curated record.